UCGCCUCUUGCAUUCCAAAGUAUAAGAGGUCCCACCUGCCCUGUGACUCUAAGUUUAACGGCCGCGGUAUUCUAACCGUGCGAAGGUAGCGCAAUCAAUUGCCUUUUAAAUGAAGGCCUGUAUGAAUGGUAUAACGAGGGUCUAGCUGUCUCUUUUUUCUAGUCAGUUAAACUGAUCUGUCCGUGCAGAAGCGGACAUUAAUAUACAAGACGAGAAGACCCUAUGGAGCUUUAGACACUAGCCAACUGUGAAUAAGCGACUGAACUGAACAAGUCCUAAAUACCCGCAGCCUUAUGGUAAUGUAGUCUUAGGUUGGGGCGACCACGGGAGAAAGUAAAGCUCCCAAGCAGACCGGGAAAACCCUUAAGCCGAGAGUUGCAACUCUAAGCCGCAAAAUUUUUGACUGAAAUGAUCCGGUUGAAAAACCGAUUAACGAACCAAGUUACCCUAGGGAUAACAGCGCAAUCCUCUCCCAGAGUCCCUAUCGACGAGGGGGUUUACGACCUCGAUGUUGGAUCAGGACAUCCUAAUGGUGCAGCCGCUAU
This 545-nucleotide ribosomal RNA is filed under the name Engraulis australis (Australian anchovy). RNAcentral's name for it is "partial 16S ribosomal RNA". It matches the Rfam family "Bacterial large subunit ribosomal RNA", at positions 1816 to 2565 of the family's 2925-position model. The record is from RNAcentral. Lineage: Eukaryota; Metazoa; Chordata; Actinopteri; Clupeiformes; Engraulidae.